UACGGAGGGUGCAAGCGUUAAUCGGAAUUACUGGGCGUAAAGCGCACGCAGGCGGUUGGAUAAGUUAGAUGUGAAAGCCCCGGGCUCAACCUGGGAAUUGCAUUUAAAACUGUCCGGCUAGAGUCUUGUAGAGGGGGGUAGAAGUCCAGGUGUAGCGGGGAAAUGCGUAGAGUUCUGGAGGAAUACCGGAGGCGAAGGCGGCCCCCAGGACAAAGACUUACGCUCAGGUGCGAAAGCGUGGGGUGCAAACAGG
This 253-nucleotide ribosomal RNA is filed under the name uncultured bacterium. Its description in RNAcentral is "partial 16S ribosomal RNA". It matches the Rfam family "Bacterial small subunit ribosomal RNA", at positions 524 to 776 of the family's 1533-position model. The record is from RNAcentral.